This 117-nucleotide small RNA is filed under the name Streptomyces mangrovisoli. RNAcentral describes it as "Streptomyces-metK RNA". It matches the Rfam family "Streptomyces-metK RNA". Lineage: Bacteria; Bacillati; Actinomycetota; Actinomycetes; Kitasatosporales; Streptomycetaceae. The record is from Rfam by way of RNAcentral.
GCGAGACAGAUGAGCCCGUGGCCGAGCGCGACCGAUAAACUGUUACCGGACGGCGCCGGGCGCAGCUCCCGAGCCGUCCGACCAUGAUCAGCCAGCAGCCGCUGCAACCCCAGGGAG